This is a long non-coding RNA of Gallus gallus (chicken), 650 nucleotides long. The record is from Ensembl. Lineage: Eukaryota; Metazoa; Chordata; Aves; Galliformes; Phasianidae.
AAUAACAUCUCUGCAGACUCUUAAAACCAUGGAAGCAUGAGGAGUGAUUUAGAAGCAAAGUAUCUAAAGAAAACAGAAAAUAUCUGAACUAUCAGCUUCCCAGUAGUCAGUGAGCCGAUAAGUAUUAGACGUGUGACGGAAGAUACCCACACUUAUCUGCAGGCAGGCUUUCAGAAAAUUUAAGGAGGCUUUCAGCCAGUGGAAACAAAGGAUUUUUCUAAAGCCUUCCAAUAACAGAGGAGAAGAAAUAAUUAUUCUAUCACUUUGGGAAGUGAACCUGAUGGAAAGGAUCUAAGACGUGACUGCAAGACCAGUCACCAUGGUGUGAACAACCACAUAUACACCCUGAACAAUGCUGUUUCAAAGCCACUUGAACAGAUCAACAACGAAACACGCUGAGUUAAUCACCAUUCAUGCUUGCCAACAGCCAGCACACAUUCCCCUGACAUGGGAAGGGGUAACUCUGCAGCUCUGUUUAACCAAAUGAACAGGCCUCAGGAAAUCAGUGUGCUCCUUUUACCUUAGGGGUGAUACUUCAACUCAGCUAGCAACAUGGAUUGUUCUCAAUGAAAAGCAGUCUGUUUUUGUAAUACAGAUGUAAGAAGAAAUGAAGCAGAUUGUGCUUCAAGCUGCUUCUGCCCUCUUUGAUA